AUCGUACGGGAGGCAGCAGUGGGGAAUCUUCCGCAAUGGGCGCAAGCCUGACGGAGCAACGCCGCGUGAGUGAAGAAGGUCUUCGGAUCGUAAAGCUCUGUUGGACGGGGACGAACGUGCGAAGGGUGAAUAAUCCUUUGUAAUGACGGUACCUGUCGAGGAAGCCACGGCUAACUACGUGCCAGCAGCCGCGGUAAUCGAU
RNAcentral lists this ribosomal RNA (202 nucleotides) under uncultured bacterium. RNAcentral describes it as "partial 16S ribosomal RNA". It matches the Rfam family "Bacterial small subunit ribosomal RNA", at positions 335 to 528 of the family's 1533-position model. The record is from RNAcentral.